RNAcentral lists this ribosomal RNA (310 nucleotides) under uncultured Acidobacteriota bacterium. RNAcentral's name for it is "bacterial SSU rRNA". It matches the Rfam family "Bacterial small subunit ribosomal RNA", at positions 29 to 351 of the family's 1533-position model. Lineage: Bacteria; Pseudomonadati; Acidobacteriota. The record is from RNAcentral.
AACGAACGCUGGCGGCGUGCCUAACACAUGCAAGUCGAACGAGGUAGCAAUACCUAGUGGCGGACGGGUGAGUAAUACAUAGGCAACCUGCCCAACAGUGGGGGACACCCAGUCGAAAGAUUGGCUAAUACCGCAUACGAUCCAAGCUUGGAAUAGCUUGGAUGAAAGAUUUAUCGCUGUUGGAUGGGCCUGUGGUGGAUUAGCUAGUUGGUGGGGUAACGGCCUACCAAGGCGACGAUGGUUAGCGGGUCUGAGAGGAUGAUCCGCCACACUGGAACUGAAACACGGACCAGACUCCUACGGGUGGCUG